GCCCAUGUAGCUCAGUCGGUAGAGCACUCCCUUGGUAAGGGAGAGGUCGUCGGUUCGAAUCCAAUCGUGGGCACCA
Molecule: transfer RNA, 76 nt
Filed under: Lysobacterales bacterium
Lineage: Bacteria; Pseudomonadati; Pseudomonadota; Gammaproteobacteria; Lysobacterales
Description: tRNA-Thr
Rfam family: tRNA
About the family: Transfer RNA (tRNA) molecules are approximately 80 nucleotides in length. Their secondary structure includes four short double-helical elements and three loops (D, anti-codon, and T loops).
Source: RNAcentral